RNAcentral lists this ribosomal RNA (505 nucleotides) under uncultured bacterium. RNAcentral describes it as "partial 16S ribosomal RNA". It matches the Rfam family "Bacterial small subunit ribosomal RNA", at positions 28 to 507 of the family's 1533-position model. The record is from RNAcentral.
GACGAACGCUGGCGGCGUGCCUAAUACAUGCAAGUAGAACGCACAGUUUAUACCGUAGCUUGCUACACCAUAGACUGUGAGUUGCGAACGGGUGAGUAACGCGUAGGUAACCUGCCUGGUAGCGGGGGAUAACUAUUGGAAACGAUAGCUAAUACCGCAUAAUAUUAAUUAUUGCAUGAUAAUUAAUUGAAAGGUGCAAUUGCACCACUACCAGAUGGACCUGCGUUGUAUUAGCUAGUAGGUGAGGUAACGGCUCACCUAGGCGACGAUACAUAGCCGACCUGAGAGGGUGAUCGGCCACACUGGGACUGAGACACGGCCCAGACUCCUACGGGAGGCAGCAGUAGGGAAUCUUCGGCAAUGGACGAAAGUCUGACCGAGCAACGCCGCGUGAGUGAAGAAGGUUUUCGGAUCGUAAAGCUCUGUUGUAAGAGAAGAACGCGUGUGAGAGUGGAAAGUUCACACUGUGACGGUAUCUUACCAGAAAGGGACGGCUAACUACGUG